Non-coding RNA from Oncorhynchus mykiss (rainbow trout), 451 nucleotides. Lineage: Eukaryota; Metazoa; Chordata; Actinopteri; Salmoniformes; Salmonidae. The record is from RefSeq and is a predicted model, not a curated record.
GACAUUACAUUUCUUUGUGACAGACCGUGGUGAUGGAUGGAAAGGACAUUUUCCUGUCAUUAAAGGAUAAAGGGUCCGGUUAGCCCUAACCAUUAUCCGUUUCGAAUUCACCAUCGCAAAGACGCUUGUCCGCACCAUCAAAACUCCAUCAAUGUACUCCAGUCUAAGAGAAGAUCGGAAAUCCUCAAAUGGGUAAAUAUCGUUUUCUACGAAAAUAACCAUAUGAACUUAACUGUUGUUCCCAUGUCUUUUGCCUCGUGUACGACGUCUCUGAUUGGUACGUUCCUGUCCGUAGAUGCUGUCCUUCAUGUACGCCCACCUGACCUUCUUCCACCAGGGUUACGACCUCUUCAGUGAACUACAACCUCUCAUGGAACAGCUGGGGGGACAGGUAGGCCUUUACCCCAUUUACUCCCAUUAAACUGUAACUGUAUCUCCACCUGGCCCAUCC